Molecule: non-coding RNA, 50 nt
Organism: Methylobacterium sp. Leaf456
Lineage: Bacteria; Pseudomonadati; Pseudomonadota; Alphaproteobacteria; Hyphomicrobiales; Methylobacteriaceae
Source: Rfam
CUGCCGGGACGGCCCGGCCGCGACAGGGCUCUCCGGCCGGGACGACCCGG